Molecule: transfer RNA, 72 nt
Filed under: Trichobilharzia regenti
Lineage: Eukaryota; Metazoa; Platyhelminthes; Trematoda; Strigeidida; Schistosomatidae
Rfam family: tRNA
About the family: Transfer RNA (tRNA) molecules are approximately 80 nucleotides in length.
Source: Rfam by way of RNAcentral
UACCUCGAGGUGUAGUAGUUAGCACUGUGGAUUUUCAAUCCAGCUACUAGAGUUCAAGUCUCUACAAGGUCU